Non-coding RNA from Pangasianodon gigas (Mekong giant catfish), 72 nucleotides. Lineage: Eukaryota; Metazoa; Chordata; Actinopteri; Siluriformes; Pangasiidae. The record is from the annotation of a GenBank genome assembly.
UCCCUGGAGGCCUAGUGGUUAGGGCACAGAGCUCUUACCGCUGGGGCCCAGGAUUGAUUCUUAGCCAGGGAC